This 389-nucleotide ribosomal RNA is filed under the name Chrysis solida. RNAcentral's name for it is "eukaryotic LSU rRNA". It matches the Rfam family "Eukaryotic large subunit ribosomal RNA", at positions 402 to 812 of the family's 3401-position model. Lineage: Eukaryota; Metazoa; Arthropoda; Insecta; Hymenoptera; Chrysididae. The record is from RNAcentral.
AAACCGUUCAGGGGUAAACCUGAGAAACCCAAAAGUUCGAACGGGGAGAUUCACCGUCAGCGGAGCAGGCUUGGUAAGUCGGACCUAGCGCCGUCCCCGGACCUGACACUCUGCUGGCCGGCGUGGACCUCCGACGGGCCGAAACGUGAACGAUACCGGUCAGCGACGCUAUUGCUUUGGGUACUCUCAGGACCCGUCUUGAAACACGGACCAAGGAGUCUAACAUGUGCGCGAGUCAUUGGGACUUGAAAGACCUAAAGGCGAAAUGAAAGUGAAGGUCGGCCUCGCGCCGACCGAGGGAGGAUGGGCCGCGUCACGAUGCGGCUCCGCACUCCCGGGGCGCCUCGUUCUCAUUGCGAGAUGAGGCGCACCCAGAGCGUACACGUUGG